Molecule: ribosomal RNA, 457 nt
Filed under: uncultured Pseudomonas sp.
Lineage: Bacteria; Pseudomonadati; Pseudomonadota; Gammaproteobacteria; Pseudomonadales; Pseudomonadaceae
Description: bacterial SSU rRNA
Rfam family: Bacterial small subunit ribosomal RNA
Source: RNAcentral
CGGGGGGCAGCAGUGGGGAAUAUUGGACAAUGGGCGAAAGCCUGAUCCAGCCAUGCCGCGUGUGUGAAGAAGGUCUUCGGAUUGUAAAGCACUUUAAGUUGGGAGGAAGGGCAUUAGCCUAAUACGUUAGUGUUUUGACGUUACCGACAGAAUAAGCACCGGCUAACUUCGUGCCAGCAGCCGCGGUAAUACGAAGGGUGCAAGCGUUAAUCGGAAUUACUGGGCGUAAAGCGCGCGUAGGUGGUUUGUUAAGUUGGAUGUGAAAGCCCCGGGCUCAACCUGGGAACUGCAUCCAAAACUGGCAAGCUAGAGUAUGGCAGAGGGUGGUGGAAUUUCCUGUGUAGCGGUGAAAUGCGUAGAUAUAGGAAGGAACACCAGUGGCGAAGGCGACCACCUGGGCUAAUACUGACACUGAGGUGCGAAAGCGUGGGGAGCAAACAGGAUUAGAUACCCGAGU